ACAGGAAGGAAGUGAGUAUGUUUCGUUAUGCAAUGUCUUUCGUAUCGUCUGUGUGUCACACAGUCACACCGCUGUGGCCGUGAUGAUGACUGGGGAAUAGUGACACACAUGCAACACACACCAUCUGCCUAUUUCAGGAAGUAUCUGAUGACAAAUCGAUUGGCCCUCGAUUUGCACGCGUGCCUCAAUGCCCCUACCUCCGUAACGCGUGGGUCCACCACGGUGUCAUUCAGGAACUUGACCAUGACGAACUUCUCCAGCAGCUGGAGAUUCUUCUUGUAAGUUUCAUUCACUACCUGCAGAGAAAUUCAAAUCACGGACAUGAGAUUCAAAUCAGUGCAAGGAGAUUCAAAUCGCGGCAAUGAAAUUCACAUCACCCAAAUUAGAGUCACAUCACUGCAAUGAGAAUUAGGAAAGGAAAUACAACCGGAAGAGUGAAAGUAAACCUAUUUUAAAAUAAUUUAACCACUGCAACGUGUUCCCGUGUUCCCCAGGCUCGUGUAUAAGCUUUCUCUGUUCAUCCACACAUUCUCCCUGACGGACUCCCACAGGAGGUUAAGAGCCUGGGUUGAAGCAUGGCACCCUACUGACCCUCUCCUGGUUGAUGUCAGCCAGGAACACGCUGUGUUUCUUGUACAGGUCGUCCUUCAGGGGGUCGUGCCAGUACUGCGCCUGGACCAG
Gadus morhua (Atlantic cod) is the source of this 681-nucleotide long non-coding RNA. RefSeq lists it as uncharacterized. Lineage: Eukaryota; Metazoa; Chordata; Actinopteri; Gadiformes; Gadidae. The record is from RefSeq and is a predicted model, not a curated record. The transcript is spliced from 2 exons.